This 252-nucleotide ribosomal RNA is filed under the name uncultured bacterium. RNAcentral's name for it is "partial 16S ribosomal RNA". It matches the Rfam family "Bacterial small subunit ribosomal RNA", at positions 524 to 775 of the family's 1533-position model. The record is from RNAcentral.
UACGUAGGGGGCGAGCGUUGUCCGGAGUUACUGGGCGUAAAGCGCACGCAGGCGGUCUGGUAAGUUUGGAGUGACAAUUCUCGGCUUAACUGAGAAGGGUCUUCGAAGACUGCCAGACUUGAGGGCUUGCGAGGGACACGGAAUUCCGGGUGGAGUGGUGAAAUGCGUAGAGAUCCGGAGGAACACCAAAGGCGAAGGCAGUGUCCUGGGAAGUACCUGACGCUCAGGUGCGAAAGCUAGGGGAGCGAACGG